RNAcentral lists this ribosomal RNA (664 nucleotides) under Lactobacillus sp. oral taxon G15. Its description in RNAcentral is "bacterial SSU rRNA". It matches the Rfam family "Bacterial small subunit ribosomal RNA", at positions 371 to 1024 of the family's 1533-position model. Lineage: Bacteria; Bacillati; Bacillota; Bacilli; Lactobacillales; Lactobacillaceae. The record is from RNAcentral.
AUGGACGAAAGUCUGAUGGAGCAACGCUCGCGUGAGUGAAGAAGGGUUUCGGCUCGUAAAACUCUGUUGUUAAAGAAGAACAUAUCUGAGAGUAACUGUUCAGGUAUUGACGGUAUUUAACCAGAAAGCCACGGCUAACUACGUGCCAGCAGCCGCGGUAAUACGUAGGUGGCAAGCGUUGUCCGGAUUUAUUGGGCGUAAAGCGAGCGCAGGCGGCUUUUUUAAGUCUGAUGUGAAAGCCCUCGGCUUAACCGAGGAAGUGCAUCGGAAACUGGGAAACUUGAGUGCAGAAGAGGACAGUGGAACUCCAUGUGUAGCGGUGAAAUGCGUAGAUAUAUGGAAGAACACCAGUGGCGAAGGCGGCUGUCUGGUCUGUAACUGACGCUGAGGCUCGAAAGCAUGGGUAGCGAACAGGAUUAGAUACCCUGGUAGUCCAUGCCGUAAACGAUGAAUGCUAGGUGUUGGAGGGUUUCCGCCCUUCAGUGCCGCAGCUAACGCAUUAAGCAUUCCGCCUGGGGAGUACGACCGCAAGGUUGAAACUCAAAGGAAUUGACCGGGGCCCGCACAAGCGGUGGAGCAUGUGGUUUAAUUCGAAGCAACGCGAAGAACCUUACCUGGUCUUGACAUCUUUUGAUCACCUGAGAGAUCAGGUUUCCCCUUCGGG